GCCUUAGCUGAUGGUACCCCCUGGCAUUUGUUUGCAUAUGUUAGACACCUAUCUUGCUCCUCGCCCUCUAUAACGACUCCAUGAAGCUUUGCAUCCUCAUGAUUACGAUCUGGCAUGUCCUGCUGGGGGUAGAUUUAUGCAUAUAGAAGAGAGGUACUCAUAAGAUGGUGGAGGAGGCAAGCUACAUAUAGAAAAGAGAUUGGUGGAGCUAGUGAAGUUUAAGUUGGUGAGAAAAAAGAUAGGGUCACAAAUGCUCGAAAUGCUGGAAGAGCUGUUGUUAAGGAGGGUAUUGUCCUAGGCUGAUGACCAAAGCUGCAAAUGAUGGUGUUGAUGGUCGGUUCCUCUCUGAGUUUGAUCAGUUUUGAGACACGCGAUGGUCUUUGUUAUCAAAUAGCUUGUCUUCUCGAACAGUGGGAUUCGAGGUCAUCAAUGUGUGUGACGAGUUCAUCAUGCCGCAACAGUGGUGGUGAUGAUGCUCGGCCUCGUCUACAACUUCUCCACCUUGGAGCAUAGGAGGCUGCUUUCUGAUGCAUGACUAGAGGGUGGCCUCGUUCUUUGACUACAUGGCUUUUUUUACUGAUCGUGAUGCAUCAAUGUAAACUUCAAGUCCUUCUCAAAGGUGCUACAGUCAUCUCUUAUGUUAGUGGACGAGACUGGCAAGAGAUUGUAGGCGAAUAUGGUUUGAUUUGUGCCACUGCAAAACCCCAUUUGAGGUCUAGUGUUGAUGUGAUGUACCCAUCAGUUUUGCAGCUACUAUCUUGGACGAGUACUCGACUUACGUUUACCGACCCAAUGUAUAUGAAUUGGUUAUUUCAACCCUGGAAGACCAAGUGAAGUGAUAGCAGAACUUUCCAUGGGGUUGUUAGGAUUAAAAUGUGCAAAUUUGGGUUCUUUCUCCUAUGUAUAAUUCAAUACUCAUACUUUGGCAUGUGGAAAGGUUGAGGAGAUCCCAAAGAAUUUCCCUUUCAAACACACCGACAAGAAGUGGCACAAUUCUGGUUUCCAUGCUGAGCCUAAUCACUGGAUGUUAGGCGGAAGGACAAGGACGACAAAGAGAAAGACGAUGACCAGGAAGAUGGCGGGAAUGCCCCACAAAGUCCAGCAUUCUCCUCAGAGUCACAGUCUCCAAGAAUGACGUCCCAAGCCUCGAGUUCACCUGCAUCGCCUACCCGACGAGAUCAUGAUCGACACCUUGCCCGUUAGGCAGCCGGUUAGGAACGACUUGGAGGAGAUGAUUGCAUACGAGGGUUCUGAUUUCAAUUAAGUUCACAAAUCCAUGGCUUGGCCGUUUUAAUUUUCACAGCUAGCAGCUGAUGCUGCAACCAAACUCUUUGAUUGUUCACUGAUUUCUGAUGUUGUAAAAAGAACGCAUUCUGAUUGGUUAACAACUGCUUUGUUGAUGAUGUACUCCACUUGGUCUUUGUCUUAUGUAGCGACCUCGUCGAGAACCUGCAGAGGGCAUUCCACAAGUGCGUGGAGCUGCGGUCUGCUAUGGGUGUUCUUACUAUUGGUACGGACUUGGAGUGUAUGUCGCGGGCUUGGUCAUUGUGCUGGAAUUGGGGACCUUUUUCCUGGGCGGAUGUUUCCAUCGAUUCUUCUCACGCAUGGUGAUGCAGUCCUCUCUUAUGUUAGUGGACGAGACUAGCAAGAGAUUGUAGGCGAAGAUGGGUUGAUUUUUGUGCCACUGCAAAACCUCAUUUGAGGUAUGGUGUUGUCGUGAUGUACCCAUUAGUUGUGCAGCUACCAACUUGGACGAGUACUCGAUUUAUGUUUACCGAACAAUGUAUAUGAAGUGGUUAUUUCAGCCCUGGAAGACCAAGUGAAGUGACAGAAGAACUUGCCAUGGAGGUUUGAGGAUUAAAAUGUGCAAAUUUGGGUUGUUCCUCCUUUGUAUAAGUCAGUACUCCAAUAUUUUGGCAUGUGGAAAGGUGUUGAAGCAACAUUCUUUUUGUUUGUUUGUCAAGAUGAAUAAUGUGUUCCUCUUCAGCUUUAGUGAUUUGUAAUAUUAGAUGGUUUCUUAUUCUGCUGCUUAGGAAUUGCAACUAUGUUUUGCUAGAGCAAUUAUGUGCGCAAGGCUAUUGUGUUAUGAUUAGUGAAGUUGUUAUCAUAUCAACUAUCAUAUCUUGUUCGAGA
Lolium perenne is the source of this 2133-nucleotide non-coding RNA. NCBI's taxonomy places the organism in Eukaryota, Viridiplantae, Streptophyta, Magnoliopsida, Poales, Poaceae. The record is from RefSeq and is a predicted model, not a curated record.